RNAcentral lists this ribosomal RNA (502 nucleotides) under methanogenic archaeon F1/P-3. RNAcentral describes it as "bacterial SSU rRNA". It matches the Rfam family "Archaeal small subunit ribosomal RNA", at positions 52 to 553 of the family's 1478-position model. Lineage: Archaea; Methanobacteriati; Methanobacteriota. The record is from RNAcentral.
UGCGAGUCAUAUGUUCUUCGUGAACAUGGCGUACUGCUCAGUAACACGUGGAUAACCUGCCCUUGGGUCCGGCAUAACCCCGGGAAACUGGAGAUAAUUCCGGAUAACGCACAUAUGCUGGAAUGCUUUAUGCGUAAAAUGGAUUCGUCUGCCCAAGGAUGGGUCUGCGGCCUAUCAGGUAGUAGUGGGUGUAAUGUACCUACUAGCCAACAACGGGUACGGGUUGUGAGAGCAAGAGCCCGGAGAUGGAUUCUGAGACAUGAAUCCAGGCCCUACGGGGCGCAGCAGGCGCGAAAACUUUACAAUGCGGGAAACCGUGAUAAGGGGACACCGAGUGCCAGCGUCAUACGCUGGCUGUCCAGGUGUGUAAAAUACACCUGUUAGCAAGGGCCGGGCAAGACCGGUGCCAGCCGCCGCGGUAACACCGGCGGCCCGAGUGGUGAUCGUGAUUAUUGGGUCUAAAGGGUCCGUAGCCGGUUUGGUCAGUCCUCCGGGAAAUCUG